ACGAACGCUGGCGGCAUGCCUAACACCUGCAAGUCGAACGAGACCUUCGGGUCUAGUGGCGCACGGGUGCGUAACGCGUGGGAACCUGCCCUUAGGUUCGGAAUAACUCCCCGAAAGGGGUGCUAAUACCGGAUAAUGUCUUCGGACCAAAGAUUUAUCGCCUUUGGAUGGGCCCGCGUUGGAUUAGCUAGUUGGUAGGGUAAAAGCCUACCGAGGCGACGAUCCAUAGCUGGUCUGAGAGGAUGAUCAGCCACACUGGGACUGAGACACGGCCCAGACUCCUACGGGAGGCAGCAGUGGGGAAUAUUGGACAAUGGGCGAAAGCCUGAUCCAGCAAUGCCGCGUGAGUGAUGAAGGCCUUAGGGUUGUAAAGCUCUUUUACCCGGGAUGAUAAUGACAGUACCGGGAGAAUAAGCUCCGGCUAACUCCGUA
Molecule: ribosomal RNA, 432 nt
Filed under: uncultured bacterium
Lineage: Bacteria
Description: partial 16S ribosomal RNA
Rfam family: Bacterial small subunit ribosomal RNA
Source: RNAcentral